CUGGGUUUGACAUCGCCGGAAAACUCGUAGAGAUACGGGGUCCUUCGGGGCCGGUGACAGGUGGUGCAUGGCUGUCGUCAGCUCGUGUCGUGAGAUGUUGGGUUAAGUCCCGCAACGAGCGCAACCCUCGUCCCAUGUUGCCAGCAAUUCGGUUGGGGACUCAUGGGAGACUGCCGGGGUCAACUCGGAGGAAGGUGGGGAUGACGUCAAGUCAUCAUGCCCCUUAUGUCCAGGGCUUCACGCAUGCUACAAUGGCCGGUACAAACCGUUGCGAGCCCGUGAGGGGGAGCGAAUCGGAAAAAGCCGGUCUCAGUUCGGAUCGGGGUCUGCAACUCGACCCCGUGAAGUCGGAGUCGCUAGUAAUCGCAGAUCAGCAACGCUGCGGUGAAUA
Molecule: ribosomal RNA, 391 nt
Filed under: uncultured bacterium
Lineage: Bacteria
Description: bacterial SSU rRNA
Rfam family: Bacterial small subunit ribosomal RNA
Source: RNAcentral